AAACUUAAAGGAAUUGACGGGGGCCCGCACAAGCGGCGGAGCAUGCGGAUUAAUUCGAUGCAACGCGAAGAACCUUACCUGGGUUUGACAUAUACCGGAAACAUCUGGAGACAGGUGCCCCGCAAGGUCGGUAUACAGGUGGUGCAUGGCUGUCGUCAGCUCGUGUCGUGAGAUGUUGGGUUAAGUCCCGCAACGAGCGCAACCCUCGUUCUAUGUUGCCAGCGGUUCGGCCGGGAACUCAUAGAAGACUGCCGGGGUCAACUCGGAGGAAGGUGGGGAUGACGUCAAGUCAUCAUGCCCCUUAUGUCCAGGGCUUCACGCAUGCUACAAUGGCUGGUACAAAGGGCUGCAAUACCGCAAGGUGGAGCGAAUCCCAUAAAGCCAGUCUCAGUUCGGAUUGGGGUCUGCAACUCGACCCCAUGAAGUCGGAGUCGCUAGUAAUCGCAGAUCAGCAACGCUGCGGUGAAUACGUUCCCGGGCCUUGUACACACCGCCCGUCAAGUCAUGAAAGUCGGUAACACCCGAAGCCGGUGGCCUAACCCUUGUGGAGGGAGCCGUCGAAGGUGGGACCGGUAAUUAGGACUAAGUCGUAACAAGGUAGCCGUACCGGAAGGUGCGGCUGGAUCACCUCCUUU
RNAcentral lists this ribosomal RNA (635 nucleotides) under uncultured Propionibacteriaceae bacterium. RNAcentral describes it as "bacterial SSU rRNA". It matches the Rfam family "Bacterial small subunit ribosomal RNA", at positions 897 to 1533 of the family's 1533-position model. The record is from RNAcentral. Lineage: Bacteria; Bacillati; Actinomycetota; Actinomycetes; Propionibacteriales; Propionibacteriaceae.